Molecule: non-coding RNA, 23 nt
Filed under: Drosophila melanogaster (fruit fly)
Lineage: Eukaryota; Metazoa; Arthropoda; Insecta; Diptera; Drosophilidae
Also listed under: 1 other name
Source: RNAcentral
CGUCAUCUAAUUAGUGACGCGCA